This is a non-coding RNA of Leptonychotes weddellii (Weddell seal), 2861 nucleotides long. The record is from RefSeq and is a predicted model, not a curated record. NCBI's taxonomy places the organism in Eukaryota, Metazoa, Chordata, Mammalia, Carnivora, Phocidae.
AUUCAAUUCUAAUUGGAAUGAUUCUGUUAUCUAUGUGGAAGUAAACACAAAACAGCCAGAAACGGCUCCGGACUGUCUGAGGAUCAGGGCACAGAGCACCAGGGGCCCAACAGGAAACAGAAAAGCAAGAAUGGAUGGCGAAGACGCUGACAUGUCUCAGAUCUGUCCUCCAAUAUCUUCUCACUAGGUAAUCCUCUCCUGGGGCAGAGCUGAUCUACCUCCAUGGGCUGCACUCUCACCAUGUGCUGACGACCCCACAUCUCAAUCUCUGGCCCAGUGUCUUUAUGAAGCUCCGCCUGGCCUGCUUCUCAGACUGCCCGUAGCAUCUUCACCGGGAUCACUUCCAAACCCGAACGACUUCUUCACCUUCUCCUCAGCAAACCUCAGCCACUUCUCUCAUCUUCUACACAUGAAAGGCGCUGAAGUCCUUCGGCCUGUAUCGCUUAUGAGCACCGUUCUCGUUAUUCACGAGGAACUCACCGAUGGGGACAGUUCCUGUGCACCAUUCAAGAACUCCGCUUCGCUGAGACAGCGGAACCACCUGCACCACAGAGGAGAUGCCUUUUGAUUAGUGGAAGGGUCCCGAAGAGCAUGUGAUGAUCCCUCAACUACCAGAAACCGUGGAAAGCAGCUCUUUCGACUGUAUUGCUGUUUCUGUGUCCAGAGGAGACAGAACAUCUUGGAGGUUUGAAGUUUCCGAGAGUCGUAGAAAGAAAAGGACAAGACCGCCUCCCGACUUGGGAGCAACUGGGUGAAGGUUGUGCCACCUGCUGAUCUGUGAGGAGGAGACGUGUUUGCUGUGCGGUUUUUGGUGGAGGUAUUCGUCGGAAGCUCCACUUUAAACUUGCUGAGCCUGAGGUGUCUCUUAGACCUCUACAGAACCCACUCAUCUUGUCAGGAGCCAGCCCUUCCAAAUACUGUAUGUGAUCGGACAAAAGACUUCUUUCUAGACUAACUGAAGGGAAAAACAGGGCUUCAUGAUUAGCAGGGAAGGUGCCCAAAUGGCAAAAGGACCGGGACUCCUGAGCCACCAUCCACAAUGUGCAUUUUUCCAAUGACCAUGCCACAGAGACCUUGCAUGGCCCACAAAGUCUAAAAUGUUUACUCUCACAGAAAACACUGGCUGAGGCCUCAUCUGGGUAACGGCAUCUUUUCUAGGCUCUUGAUGAAGGGGCAGAAGCGCGAAGUAGUCACCUUGUAUGUGCAGAUAGUCAGUUUCCUCUUCCUGGUCUCUGUGUUCCUCUGCAGUAACUUGUUACACAUCUGGAAAACCUGCUGCAUGACCGCAUCCUGUCUCAGGUCGUCACGGCCCUUCAGAGUAAUCAAAGCACCAACAACUGGGCACAGUCCAUUUUAUGAUAAAAUCGCACAGAGAGCAUGAGGACAAUGAAAGGGUGCUCAGAAACCCAUCUGAGCAUCUGUACUCCUUUUCAGUCUCUUAAAUAACUAAGACCUGGUCUUUCAUUUAGAAUAUGCUGUAACAUGGGUAGGCAGACGAGUUUAGAAAAACGUUCCCCCUCAAUGCUUCUGGAAUUAGGCUCACUGGAACUCCUCCACUAAUUCCCAGCAUGGCCCAGAGAACUUGGGAGCAGAGUAAGCGAGGAAUGCCGUCCCCUUUCGGAUACAUUUACUAGCAGCUGGCCCAGUGCCAUACUCAGGAUUCUUAAAGCAAGGGCCUUCAACUUGAACUCUUCAAGAAAAUAAGCAACUAUCACCUGAACAGUUUUUCCAUAACAAGCAACCGGAUUGUUAACUUCAUCAUAUCUGUAGUACGUGUCAGAAGUAUCCUUUUACUUCAGUCAACUGUUACAAUGCUGGCCUUCCAGAGACACAAAAAAUUUAAGAAAAGCAAUCUGCUUCUAGAAAAUAAUGUAUUCAUAUUCUGUAAGUUUUCCUCACUUGCAAUUUUUGAGAAGAAAAAUAAAGACCCAAAGCAGGAAGUAAAUAUCAACUACAGUUUUGCUUUGACUUUUUUCACUAAGACACUAAGGACCGCACCCCUGGAGGGGAGUCUCACCUUGACGAGCUGUCUCCUUUCCUUGCCAUCAGAGCCCAAACAGUCUAUUAUUUUAGGUAAAUUUAAACCUCCUGCUAAACGAAAUUCUGCUUUAAAGGAUUGUAUAGUCACCAGAUUUCCGUAUUCUCCAGUGGGGUCCACCUAAUAAAGCAUAUAAAUGAGAGAAGAGAUCAGGUUACACUAUGUGCUUUUAAAGAAGAAUGAAUUAUAAACGACAAUUUUAAUAUUAAACAGGAAUGAAGGACAAUGUGCUGUGGGUUAAGAGCUCAAGUGAUAAUUUACUUCUUGUUUAAAUGAAAGAAACAAAAUUUAACACUGGAAAGGUUUAUGAAGUCACCUCUCUAAACAUCUCUCACUAACGCUGGGGCACACAGUGUUAGAAUAGUGUUGCCAAAAAGCUACUAAAGAACCUGGUUUCAGGUCUCACUGCUGACUUUGUCUGUUAAGUCCUCUGAGAAAGAGUAAACGUCUCACAGAAACAUAGUAAGGUAAAUUUUUAGAAAAGUGUGGAGAGUGGUCUUCUAGGCUGAACUGCUAACUCCGGCAUUUUCGGAAAUAUUCGGCUGACUACCUUUGCUAAUGUAGUCAGAAAGGUAUCAGUUAAUCCAUAUGAUGCAGCUACAUUUCAACUCGAAUAACUACAUAUACUAAGAAUGUAGUCAAAUGAUCCUUCUGAAAAAGUUUUAAAGUUUCUAUUUUAAUUCCAGCUAUUUAACUUACAGUUACUAGUUUCCGGUGCACAAUAUACUGAUUCAGCACUUCCAUACGUUACCUGGUGCUCAUCAUGACAGGUGCACUCCUUCAUCCUCAUCCCCCGUUUCCCCCGUCCGCCCACCCACCUCCC